AUACGGAGGAUCCAAGCGUUAUCCGGAUUUAUUGGGUUUAAAGGGUGCGCAGGCGGAAGAUUAAGUCGGCGGUGAAAUUUUGCAGCUCAACUGUAAAAGUGCCAUCGAUACUGGUUUUCUUGAGUGUGGAUGAAGUAGGCGGAAUUUGUGGUGUAGCGGUGAAAUGCAUAGAUAUCACGAGGAACUCCGAUUGCGCAGGCAGCUUACUAGGCCAUAACUGACGCUCAGGCACGAAGGCGUGGGGAUCAAACAGGAUUAGAUACCCUGGUAGUCCACGCAGUAAACGAUGAUUACUCGCUGUUUGCGAUACACAGUAAGCGGCUUAGCGAAAGCGUUAAGUAAUCCACCUGGGGAGUACGUUCGCAAGAAUGAAACUCAAAUGAAUUGGCGGGG
RNAcentral lists this ribosomal RNA (393 nucleotides) under uncultured bacterium. Its description in RNAcentral is "partial 16S ribosomal RNA". It matches the Rfam family "Bacterial small subunit ribosomal RNA", at positions 523 to 918 of the family's 1533-position model. The record is from RNAcentral.